Molecule: ribosomal RNA, 253 nt
Filed under: uncultured bacterium
Lineage: Bacteria
Description: partial 16S ribosomal RNA
Rfam family: Bacterial small subunit ribosomal RNA
Source: RNAcentral
UACAUGGGGUGCAAACGUUGCUCGGAAUUAUUGGGCGUAAAGCGCACGUAGGCGGUUUGUUAAGUCGGGUGUGAAAUCCCUCAGCUUAACUGAGGAAGUGCGCCCGAAACUGCAGAGCUUGAGUACCGGAGAGGAUGGUGGAAUUCCCCAAGUAGAGGUGAAAUUCGUAGAUAUGGGGAGGAACACCGGUGGCGAAGGCGACCAUCUGGACGGAUACUGACGCUGAGACGCGAAAGCGUGGGGAGCAAACAGG